UACGAGGGGAGCAAGCGUUGUUCGGAAUCAUUGGGCGUAAAGGGCGCGUAGGCGGCCGUACAAGUCUGGGGUGAAAGCCCUCGGCUCAACCGAGGAAUUGCCUUGGAAACUGUAUGGCUUGAGUAUUGGAGAGGAAAGCGGAAUUCCCAGUGUAGCGGUGAAAUGCGUAGAUAUUGGGAGGAACACCUGUGGCGAAGGCGGCUUUCUGGACAAUCACUGACGCUGAGGCGCGAAAGCCAGGGGAGCAAACGGG
This 253-nucleotide ribosomal RNA is filed under the name uncultured bacterium. RNAcentral describes it as "partial 16S ribosomal RNA". It matches the Rfam family "Bacterial small subunit ribosomal RNA", at positions 524 to 776 of the family's 1533-position model. The record is from RNAcentral.